GUGGGGAAUCUUGCGCAAUGGGCGAAAGCCUGACGCAGCCAUGCCGCGUGCAGGAAGAAGGCGCUACGCGUUGUAAACUGCUUUUAACCGGGAAGAAACCCCAGGACGUGUCCUGGGUUGACGGUACCGGAGGAAUAAGCACCGGCUAACUUCGUGCCAGCAGCCGCGGUAAUACGAAGGGUGCAAGCGUUAUCCGGAUUCAUUGGGUUUAAAGGGUGCGUAGGCGGAGCGUUAAGUCAGUGGUGAAAUCCUGCAGCUUAACUGUAGACUUGCCAUGGAUACUGGCGCUCUUGAGUGCGCUUGAAGUGGGCGGAAUGUGCCGUGUAGCGGUGAAAUGCUUAGAUAUGGCACAGAACACCAAUUGCGAAGGCAGCUCACUAAGGCGAUACUGACGCUGAGGCACGAAAGCGUGGGGAUCGAACAGGAUUAGAAACCCCUGUAGUCC
Molecule: ribosomal RNA, 445 nt
Filed under: uncultured bacterium
Lineage: Bacteria
Description: partial 16S ribosomal RNA
Rfam family: Bacterial small subunit ribosomal RNA
Source: RNAcentral